RNAcentral lists this ribosomal RNA (415 nucleotides) under uncultured bacterium. Its description in RNAcentral is "bacterial SSU rRNA". It matches the Rfam family "Bacterial small subunit ribosomal RNA", at positions 28 to 442 of the family's 1533-position model. The record is from RNAcentral.
GAUGAACGCUAGCGGCAGGCUUAACACAUGCAAGUCGAGGGGUAGAGGAAGCUUGCUUCCUUGAGACCGGCGCACGGGUGCGUAACGCGUAUGCAAUCUACCUUAUACAGGGGAAUAGCCCAGAGAAAUUUGGAUUAAUGCCCCAUAGUGUUAUCGAAUCGCAUGGUUUGAUAACUAAAGUUCCAACGGUAUAAGAUGAGCAUGCGUCCCAUUAGUUAGUUGGUAAGGUAACGGCUUACCAAGACAAUGAUGGGUAGGGGUCCUGAGAGGGAGAUCCCCCACACUGGUACUGAGACACGGACCAGACUCCUACGGGAGGCAGCAGUGAGGAAUAUUGGUCAAUGGGCGCAAGCCUGAACCAGCCAUGCCGCGUGCAGGGAAGACGGUCCUAUGGAUUGUAAACUGCUUUUUANAC